GAUGAACGCUGGCGGCGUGCCUAAUACAUGCAAGUCGAGCGAACAGACGAGGAGCUUGCUCCUCUGACGUUAGCGGCGGACGGGUGAGUAACACGUGGAUAACCUACCUAUAAGACUGGGAUAACUUCGGGAAACCGGAGCUAAUACCGGAUAAUAUAUUGAACCGCAUGGUUCAAUAGUGAAAGACGGUUUUGCUGUCACUUAUAGAUGGAUCCGCGCCGCAUUAGCUAGUUGGUAAGGUAACGGCUUACCAAGGCAACGAUGCGUAGCCGACCUGAAAGGGUGGUCGGCCACACUGGAACUGAGACACGGUCCAGACUCCUACGGGAGGCAGCAGUAGGGAAUCUUCCGCAAUGGGGGAAAGCUUGACGGAGCAACGCCGCGUGAGUGAUGAAGGUCUUCGGAUCGUAAAACUCUGUUAGUAGGGAAGAACAAAUGUGUAAGUAACUAUGCACGUCUUGACGGUACCUAAUCAGAAAGCCACGGCUAACUACGUG
RNAcentral lists this ribosomal RNA (497 nucleotides) under uncultured bacterium. RNAcentral describes it as "partial 16S ribosomal RNA". It matches the Rfam family "Bacterial small subunit ribosomal RNA", at positions 28 to 507 of the family's 1533-position model. The record is from RNAcentral.